This 355-nucleotide ribosomal RNA is filed under the name uncultured Caulobacter sp. RNAcentral's name for it is "bacterial SSU rRNA". It matches the Rfam family "Bacterial small subunit ribosomal RNA", at positions 37 to 434 of the family's 1533-position model. Lineage: Bacteria; Pseudomonadati; Pseudomonadota; Alphaproteobacteria; Caulobacterales; Caulobacteraceae. The record is from RNAcentral.
AUGGCGGCACGCUAACUAAAGCAAGUCGAACGGAUCCCUCGGGAUUAGUGGCGGACGGGUGAGUAGGAACGUGCCCUUUGGUUCGGAACAACUCAGUGAAACUUGAUGCUAAUACCGUGAUGUGCCCUUCGGGGGAAAGAUUUAUCGCCAUUGGAGCGGCCCGCGUCUGAUUAGCUAGUUGGUGGGGUAAAGGCCCACCAAAGCGACGAUCAGUAGCUGGUCUGAGAGGAUGAUCAGCCACAUUGGGACUGAGACACGGCCCAACUCAUAGGGAGGAGCAGCUGGGGAAUCUGCGCAAUGCGCACAACCUGUCCAACCAUCCGCGUGACUACGAAAGUCUACGAUUGUCAAUUCU